UUUACUUGCAUUUCGCCUGCGAAGGUUGUUUUCACUUACUUUUGGAUGUGUUUGACAUAAAAAGAAUGAUAUGCUCUAGUGAUCCUUCUUAUUUGUUGUUUGGUAUUUAAUCUUAAUAAUGCCUUUGUUAAAUAAAUUUAUUUCCUCAUUGCUAUCAGAUGGGAUACACCUUAUUCAGCUUUAACUAACUACAUUAUGCACAAGUAGUUGCACAACUUAGUUUUUACAAGUCUCAACUAAUUUUGAUUUGUUUCACUUUGGUCACUCAACUUCUAUUCAUCUGGAAGAUGGUCACUUGUCCUAGAUUUUCACUCUCACAAAAGAGGAAGAAUUGAAAUUCAAUGUGGCAGUUGUACAGAUAAAUUGCAUGCAUGUUAUGUUGCAUUUCUCUUCACUUUUGGAAAGCUGGUUUCAGUAAUAUAUAAUUAUAGAUGAAACAAAAGUUGGGUGACCAAAUUGGAAGAACAUGAAAUUUUAUUACGACUUGAACUUGAGUACUAUUUCAAUUGACUAAUAAUGCAAUUUUCCUUUAUCAUUUUGUUAAGACAAUUUAGAGCAUAUGCUUGUUAUUUGUAUUGCAAUACUGUUCUGUAGACAUCCUGUGUUUUGCAUGACUACAGUUUGACUUGAUCAACAUUAUUUAUCAUAACCUUUGUUCCAGUUGGAAGAUGACAAUGUUCCCUUCUGAUGAUGACAAGAGUUUACUCAAUGUGAAUGUGCAAACAAUAUGAAUUUAUAUUGUAGGACUGAAUUGAUUUUGAGCCAAAUACAGUGCAUGAAAGCCCAUGGUCUUCUAUUUUUUGGCAUAUACUUUGCUGAAUUCAAUAAUAAAAAAAAAAAAAACGUAGUCAUUGCUAUUUUAACACUUAAUUUAUAUUGCAUACUUCCAUUCGUGAGCAGUUUCCUUAGGGGCAAUCAUCACAAUACUAAAGGUUGAUUAAAACAUUUAGAAUGUUGUUGUUUAUGAGUUAUAAAUAUUAUCAUUAUCAUUGCUGUCGUGCAGUCUCAAUUCCAGCUCGUAAUUGUCAGAUUGAUGCUAUUAUUGUUGAUGAGUGUGACUUUAGAAGUUAACUUCAUGAUUUAGAACUAGAAGUAUAUGUUGACUUUUUGAAGGAGAUCUGUUUAGGUUGCAUUUUAUAGAACUCUGCAAUUGUGUUCCUUUUUGUUCACCCUUGAGGUGAACAAGUUUCUUUUUUUAACUCUUCAUUUGGUUAUAUCCUCUUUCAUUUCUGCUUCCUAUUUGCAUUUACUUGAAAAUUAGUUAAUAAGAACUUAUUGUUAUUGUCCUUCUCCUCGUUAUUUUGUCAAGGAUAUUUCCUUCUUUCAAAUUAUGCUUCUGUACGUAAUUCUUGUAUUUCUUUCUCUUCAUGUCUUGCAGCUUGUGAAGCUACUCGAACUGA
RNAcentral lists this unclassified non-coding RNA (1400 nucleotides) under Hevea brasiliensis (rubber tree). Lineage: Eukaryota; Viridiplantae; Streptophyta; Magnoliopsida; Malpighiales; Euphorbiaceae. The record is from RNAcentral.